RNAcentral lists this ribosomal RNA (460 nucleotides) under uncultured bacterium. RNAcentral's name for it is "partial 16S ribosomal RNA". It matches the Rfam family "Bacterial small subunit ribosomal RNA", at positions 338 to 795 of the family's 1533-position model. The record is from RNAcentral.
CCUACGGGUGGCUGCAGUGAGGAAUAUUGGUCAAUGGGCGCGAGCCUGAACCAGCCAAGUAGCGUGAAGGAUGACUGCCCUACGGGUUGUAAACUUCUUUUAUAAAGGAAUAAAGUGAGGCACGUGUACCUUUUUGUAUGUACUUUAUGAAUAAGGAUCGGCUAACUCCGUGCCAGCAGCCGCGGUAAUACGGAGGAUUCGAGCGUUAUCCGGAUUUAUUGGGUUUAAAGGGUGCGUAGGUGGGUUGUUAAGUCAGUUGUGAAAGUUUGAGGCUCAACCUGAAAAUUGCAAUUGAUACUGGCAGUCUUGAGUGUAGUUGAGGUAGGCGGAAUUCGUGGUGUAGCGGUGAAAUGCUUAGAUAUCACGCAGAACUCCGAUUGCGAAGGCAGCUUACUAAGCUGCCACUGACAUUGAUGCUCGAAAGUGUGGGUAUCAAACAGGAUUAGAUACCCGGGUAGUC